AUGUCCCGAAUAAACUAUGGUGUCAUCACCCUUAUCCCCAAGAGAGUUGGGGCGACGAUCAGACACUUUAGUCCGGUCUCAGUGAUUAACAUGCUUAAAUUGAUUUUUGCUAAAGUUUGUGCUACAUGGUUGGCCCCUGUGGCAGAGAGGGUCGCUCACCCUUUCCAGACCCCGUUCGUGAAGGGACGGUGAAUCCUCAAUGGGAUCUUGUCUCUUGAUGAAAUUAUCCAUGAGGUGGCAACGCAAGGCCAUAGGGGCGUCUUUCUCAAGUUGGACUUCCAAAAGGCAUACGACCACCUGGAUUGGUACUUAUUGAGGCUCGUUAUCCAACACCGAGGGUUUGAUGAGAGAUGGUGCUCCUGA
Molecule: ribosomal RNA, 363 nt
Filed under: Triticum aestivum (bread wheat)
Lineage: Eukaryota; Viridiplantae; Streptophyta; Magnoliopsida; Poales; Poaceae
Description: partial small subunit ribosomal RNA
Source: RNAcentral